CACCAGGUUGAUUCUGCCUGACGUAGACGCUAUACUCUAAGAUUAACCCAUGCAUGUUAUUGAAUAUAAAGAAAAGACGAACAGCUCAGUAACUCUUAUUUUAUUUGAUGUAUUAGGACUAUUAACUAUGUUAAAUUAUAGAUAAUAAUAAUACAAUAAGAAUAAGAUCUAUCAGUUAGUUGUUAAGGUAAUGGCUUAACAAGACAGUGACGGAUAACGGUAUUACUUUGUAAUAUUCCGGGGAAGGAGCCUGAGAGAUUGCUACUAAGUCUAAGGAUUGCAGCAGGGGCGAAACUUGACCUAUGAUAUAUUAUUGAGGCAGUUAUGAGUAGUAUUUUAUAAUUAUUGUAAUAUUGUAAGUAUAUAUUACAAGAUAAAUCGGAGGGCAAAUCGAGUGCCAGCAGCCGCGGUAAUACUUGUUCCGAUAGUGUGUAUGAUGAUUGAUGCAGUUAAAAAGUCUGUAGUUUAAAUAAUAAUAAGCAUUGUAAGGUAUAUUGUAUGGUUAGGAGAGAGAUGAAAUGUGAUAACCCUAACUGGAUGAACNGAAGCGAAAGCUAUAUACUUAAAUGUUUUAUUAGAACA
This 582-nucleotide ribosomal RNA is filed under the name Nosema maddoxi. RNAcentral's name for it is "SSU rRNA". It matches the Rfam family "Microsporidia small subunit ribosomal RNA", at positions 1 to 632 of the family's 1311-position model. Lineage: Eukaryota; Fungi; Microsporidia; Nosematidae. The record is from RNAcentral.